Hypanus sabinus (Atlantic stingray) is the source of this 5223-nucleotide long non-coding RNA. RefSeq lists it as uncharacterized. The transcript has 3 exons. The record is from RefSeq and is a predicted model, not a curated record. NCBI's taxonomy places the organism in Eukaryota, Metazoa, Chordata, Chondrichthyes, Myliobatiformes, Dasyatidae.
UAGAAACAGCAUCACAGGGCGGAAGAUUUCCUCUCUCCACUCAAUCUGUUUAUGAUCUUAAUUCAGACUACGCAAGAACCUCUCUUCCUGCUGAGUGUAGGGUCAUCGGUAUGCCACACCAAGGCUGCUGAAAGGAGACAAUAUAUGCCUUGAUGCCAGCUUGGUUGUUAGCCUGGUUCAACAACAACACACCAACAAGGAAGCAGUCGCCAAGUUUCACCGACGCAUCUUAAACCAGGAGGCCUAACUCCCAACUGGAAUUCACCGUCUCGGUGAAAGAAAUGUGCGGGUGAAACUCGGAUUUGGGCCGAAGAGCGAAGCUUCCCACGGCUGAAAGGCUGUAUCUAACUGAACAAUCUUCUCCGAUAACAGGCAGUCAAUUUAACUGGCUGAAGGAAUUGGAUUCCUUUUCCAUUGCCUCACAGUGGACUUUAGCACCAAGGGGGUAAAAAAAAACUCACCAGGCAACACCUCUUGACACCGAGAAACGUGGGCAAAGUUUAAAAAUAAACAUCACUGAUAUCUAUUUAAUCUCCAUAUGCCAGCCAACAAAAUAUCAGAUUUUAGCUGAAACUGGUUUCAAUGUCAGUUUCUACAAUUUCAUGACAACAAAGCUUUCUUUAAUAUGUUUGGGAAUCCACGGCGCUGAGGGAAACUGCCUGGCGUGCAGGACUGUGGAAUACACAACAACAGCACCUGCAGUACGGUGUAGAACGGUCACACAGGAUUCUGGCACGAUAUCUCAGACACUCGCAGCUGGACAGAGGGGAAGGGAGGAACAGGUCUUUAUGAGUCAGACUACAACUUGAUGCAAAGAUGUCAAGCCCACAUAACCACAUCGAAAAGCUCCCAUUAUUUGCUGCACUUUGAAAGGAUGUGUCAUAUCUCUGGUUGGUUUGGCAUUUAAAGAAAACGCAGCCUUCUCGCGCCUCCUGAUUGGCUAGUAAUGUUCACUGAGCGACUUCCGCAAUGAUCUGUACAGCUCUCGUGUUUCGGCUUCACCUUUGAAGCUUUGGUCAUGCAGUUACUACACCUCAACCCUCUCGGAUUCUCCUCCGUGAGAAAUCGCAGAAUGUCAACCAAUCUCCCAUCCAGCCCCUCACCUCCCCCCCCCCACCCCCGGCCGCCUCCCCUAUAACGGACUUGAGCUUUCUGACUGAUCCCGAGAUCUCCAUGGAGAGACACCUCUUGUACAACACUUCAUCUUCCAUUGCAAGGGGCUGGGGAAGGUGCUGGCAAAUGACGGCAAUAACUCAAAUUUAUCUGCAAGUAGUGUUCAAAAUUGUGUGUUAUACACACUUAGUGGCCACUUUUCCACCUUCUCUUCAGCUCCUACAGAUUUGACAUAUUGUGAGUUCGCAGCUCUUCUGCACACCACAGUUGUAACGCGUGGUUAUUUGAGUUACUGUCGCUUUCCUGUCAGCCUCAACCAGUCUGACCGUUCCCCGCUGACCUCACCCAUUCUGUUUUCACCCACAGACCUGCUGCUCACCGGAUGUGUUUUUCUUUUUUGAGAUCAGCAUUUUUGAGAUACUCAGUCCACCCCAUCUGGCACCAAUAAUCAUUCCAAUGGUCAAGGUCACCUAGAUCACAUUUCUUCCCCAUUCUAAUGUUUGGUCUGAACAACAACUGAACCUCUUGACCAUGUCUGCAUGCUUGCAUGCAUUGAGUUGCUGCCACAUGACUGGCUGUUUAGAUAAUUGAAUAAACGUAGAGGUGUACAGGUGUUCCUAAAAAUGUGGCAACUGAGUGUAUGUUCACAUAUGUGUUUAAAAUUAUCCACCAUUUACCUGACCACAAUGGGAUGUAUAUGGUGAAGUUAACAUCAGCCUCGGCUAUAGAAUAAAAGACUUGCUUAUUCACAGACACGGAACAGGAAGAGGUUUGCUAUGGCACUCUCUGCUACCAUCAGCCAGAUCAUAACAUCAAGCUUCUUCAAUAACUAGUGGCACUUGAGCAAAUGACAAGUUCUGAGGGAUGGGUGUGCAGAGGUGAGGUGUGUGGUUGCGAAGGGAUGGUGUUGGGGAGUUGGACAGGGGGUUGACCCACUCAUAUGGAGUUGUACUUUCAAAGAAGGCUUUCAGAAAGGAUCCCAGAGAGAACAGAGUGUUUACACAGAGAGCUAGUGUUCAUACACUAGGGAGCUGGGUUGGUGAAUGCUGUGGUCUACUUGGGAGCACGUAUUUAAAACCUAUCGCUGCCAGAGAUUGUGCCUUCUUAAACUGCACCAGGGCUGUAAGUACUUGUAAGUUGAGUUAACGUGUUAAGUAUGGAAGUAAAAGUUUACCAAGAACACAUGAUUAGAUUCAGAGAUGUAUUUUCUUGGAGGUUUAGCUAAAUGUACCCAUUCUUAAGAAGUUUUGAGUCCCAAUUUACACCAAAUUACAUUUUUAAAGUGAUUCAUACACUCAGUUGCCACUUUGUUAGGUGACACUGUGCUGAAUCAAGUGGCCCCUGAGUGUGCACCAACUGACAUUUUCAAAGCAAUUCAUAAAUUCAGAAAAACACACCAAGGUUAGACUUAGAGCUUAUGGGAAGGUCUGCACACCAUAGCAGACUGCAAAGCUAAACGCAAUGGAGUUUCCGACAUCGAUGCCUCUCUCCCAGACGAGCUAAAUCUUUUUUUACGCUCGAUUCGAUGUUACCAAUGCUGAGCCCCUGAGGAGACCUGCAGAUGAUGCGACCAGCAGCUUGGUCAUCUCUGAGGCCGAAGUAUGCAGGUGUUUCCAAUGGGUGGACGGUCUCAGGGCUGCGGGACAAGACAGUAUUCUGGGGCGAGUACUCAGGAUGUGCAUACAGAGCUGUGUUUACAGACAUUUUUAAUCUCUCCCUCUCCCAGUGUAGAAUGCCCUCCUGCUUCAAAUUAUCCACUAUUGUCCCUGUACCUUAGAAGUCUGAACGACUGGUGUCCUAUCACACUCACCUCAAUAAUAAGCAAAUGCUUUGAGAAGCCAGUCAAAGACUACAUCUGCAGCAUGCUACCACCCACACUGGACCCCCUACAAUUCACCUACCAACACAGCUGAUCAACAGAUGACUCAGUAACCACAGCUCUACACACCGUCCUUACUCAUCUGGAGAAGAGGGAUGCUUAUGUGAGAAUGCUGUUCUUGGACUACAGUUCAGCAUUCAACACCAUCAUUCCCUCCAGGCUCGACAAGAAGCUCAGAGAACUAGGCCUUCACCCUGCCUUGUGCAGCUGGAUCAUGGACUUCCUGUCAGAUCGCUGGCAGGUGGUAAGAGUGGGCUCCCUCACUUCUGCCCCUCUGACCCUCAACACAGGUGCCCCUCAGUGCUGUGUCCUAAGCCCCUCCUUUACUCUCUGUAUACCCAUGACGGUGUCACCACCCACAGCUUCAAUCUGCUAAUUAAAUUUGCUGAUGGCACUACACUGAUUGGCCUAAUCUCAAAAUAAUAAUGAGGCAGCCAACAGAGAGGAAGUCAUCACCCUGACACAGUGGCGUCAGGAAAACAACCUCUCCCUCAAUGUUACAAAAACAGAGGAGUUGGUUGUGGACUACAAGUGGAAUGGAGACAAGCUAACCCCUACUGACAUCAAUGGAUCUGGGGUUGAGAGGGUGAACAGCUUUAAGUUCCUCAGCCUAAACAUCACCGAGGAUCCCACGUGGUCUGUACAAACCGGCUGUGUGGUGAAAAAGCACAACAGCACCUCUUUCACCUCAGAUGGUUGAAGAGGUUUGGUAUGGGCCCCCAAAUUCUAAGAAUUUUCUAUAGGGGCACAAUUGAGAGCAUCCUGACUGGCUGCAUCACUGCCUGGUAUGGGAACUGUAAUUCCCUCAAUUGCAAGAUUCUGUAGAGAGUGGUGCGGACAGCCCAGCGCACCUGUAGAUGUGAACCUCCCACCAUUCAGGACAUUUACAAAGACAGGUGUGUAAAAAGGGCCCAAAGGAACAAGUCACCCCAACCACAAACUGUUCCAGCUGCUACCAUCCAGAAACGGUACCGCAGCAUAAAAGCCAGGACCAACAGGCUCCAGGACAGCUUCUUCCAACCAGGCCAUCAGACUGUUUAAUUCAUGCUGACACAACUGUAUUUCUAUGCUAUAUUGAUUAUCCUGUAGUACUGUAAUAUUUAUUAUACGUUACUAUGAUUACACAUUACACAUUUGAACUGAGAUAUAGCGUAAAGAUUUUUAACUCCUCUUGUAUUUGAAGGAGGUAAAUAAUAAAGUCAAUUCAAUUCAUAAGAAAACAUGCUUCCCCUUACACAGUUGACUUGAGAGGUACCAUCAAUGUAGAAAGCAUACAGGAUCCUAACCUGUGCCAAUGGCAGGGUGUGGGCACAGACCAAUCACAUGAACAAUAUCUAAUGUUUCAAUGUCUUAUAUUUCAGUUCUGUUGGGAAAGAUGUGCUCAGAACAUUCUUGAAGUACAACAUUGCCACCAGCUCCUCGAAAUUUCUGAUCCAAAGAUAGUCCGGGUGGGCAAGAGCAUUCGGGGCGGUACUGAGGGUGACAUGGGGGCUGUUGGCAGAACAUCCUGUUUCUCACUGGAUGGUACAGGAGGAUCUCUCACCAUGGACCUUGGUUUCCCUUCAGUGUUCUGCCAUUAUACACACUGUCAGCACAGAGAACAUGCACAUCUCAUGGAGCAAGGCUUGAAAGAAAAAUUGCUGGCCUGAGAGGCUGAAGUGCAGGAGGCCAGAACACAGCCACUUGUCUCCCACAAUCUUUUCCAAAGGCAUGUAUAUAAUUGUGAGAAUUGAGCAUUUUAAGGUCCUUUUAGCUUAGAGGUAAAUGCAACAAGCCACGCAUUUGGCUCAUUUCUGAUCUAUGCUGCUUUCAGAUAGGGAUGCUCACAAACUCCUACAGAUGUGCUGUGGAGAGCAUUCUAACUGGCUGCAUCACGCGCAUGUGUGUGUGUGGUGAUAUUGUACAGUAAUGAGGUAAGCUGCAGAGAUUUGCAGACUGGGCUCCAUCAUGGGCACUAGCCUUACUAGUAUACAGGACACCUUCAAGGAACGGUGCCUCAGAAAAGUGGAGACUAUCCUUAAGGACCCUCCUCCACCCAGGACAUGCCCUCUUCUCAUUGUUACCAUUGGGAAGGAGGUACAGAAGCCUGAAAGCACACACCAUCAAUUGAGACAGCUUCAUCCAAUUUCUGAAUGGACAUUGAACCUACGAGUGCUACCUCACUACAUUUUUAUUUCCUGUUUUCCACACUACUUAUUUAACUAUAUUAUAUAUAUGAGAGAGAGAAAGAG